UGGGGAAUAUGUCAAAGAGACAACAAACCGACUAUGGGCCAGACAACAGCUGAAGGUCACCAAUGGGUCUUCAACGCAGCGAGACAAUCCCGCACCCGGAGGUGGUCCUCAGCUGGCCCUUAAUAAAAUUAUGUACUAUGUGCACUAAAGUUUAACAUGUAUAUCGAUUUUAGUCCACACAUGUCUUGCUUUAAAUACUUGGUUUUAA
Molecule: long non-coding RNA, 208 nt
Filed under: Mytilus galloprovincialis (Mediterranean mussel)
Lineage: Eukaryota; Metazoa; Mollusca; Bivalvia; Mytilida; Mytilidae
Source: RNAcentral